GUGCUCAAUUCAGCAGUACAUAUACUAACACUGGAACGAUACAGAGAAGAUUAGCAUGGCCCUUGCGCAAGGAUGACAAAUUCGUGAACCGAUUCAUAUUUUU
This is a small nuclear RNA of Mastomys coucha (southern multimammate mouse), 103 nucleotides long. Lineage: Eukaryota; Metazoa; Chordata; Mammalia; Rodentia; Muridae. The record is from RefSeq and is a predicted model, not a curated record.